This 130-nucleotide ribosomal RNA is filed under the name uncultured bacterium. RNAcentral describes it as "partial 16S ribosomal RNA". It matches the Rfam family "Bacterial small subunit ribosomal RNA", at positions 340 to 467 of the family's 1533-position model. The record is from RNAcentral.
UACGGGAGGCAGCAGUGGGGAAUAUUGGACAAUGGGCGGAAGCCUGAUCCAGCAAUACCGCGUGUGUGAAGAAGGCCUGAGGGUUGUAAAGCACUUUCAAUUGGGAGGAAAACAGGCAGGUCAAUACCCU